CCUACGGGUGGCAGCAGUGGGGAAUAUUGGGCAAUGGGCGCAAGCCUGACCCAGCAACGCCGCGUGAAGGAAGAAGGCUCUCGGGUUGUAAACUUCUUUUUUCAGGGACGCAGCAAGUGACGGUACCUGAGGAAUAAGCCACGGCUAACUACGUGCCAGCAGCCGCGGUAAUACGUAGGUGGCAAGCGUUCUCAGGAUUUACUGGGUGUAAAGGGCGUGUAGGCGGGAAAGCAAGUCAGAUGUGAAAACCAUGGGCUCAACCUGUGGCCUGCAGUUGAAACUGUUUUUCUUGAGUACUGGGGAGGCAGACGGAAUUCCUGGUGUAGCGGUGAAAUGCGUAGAUAUUAGGAAGAACACCAGUGGCGAAGGCGGUCUGCUGGACAGCAACUGACGCUGAGGCGCGAAAGCGUGGGGAUCAAACAGGAUUAGAUACCCCUGUAGUC
RNAcentral lists this ribosomal RNA (443 nucleotides) under uncultured bacterium. RNAcentral describes it as "partial 16S ribosomal RNA". It matches the Rfam family "Bacterial small subunit ribosomal RNA", at positions 338 to 795 of the family's 1533-position model. The record is from RNAcentral.